This is a long non-coding RNA of Homo sapiens (human), 2956 nucleotides long. RefSeq lists it as uncharacterized. The transcript is spliced from 2 exons. The record is from RefSeq and is a predicted model, not a curated record. NCBI's taxonomy places the organism in Eukaryota, Metazoa, Chordata, Mammalia, Primates, Hominidae.
CUCUUGACCUCGUGAUCCGCCUGCCUCAGCCUCCCGAAGUGCUGGGAUUACAGGUGUGAGCCACUGCGCCUGGCUAGUUCGAGUUUUUAAGGAAUUUAGCUCAGGCUGCUGCAUUGCCACACACACCCCUGCUCUUUCAUAGGCCUGCUGCUUGGCAAAGCUACGGACCGGUAAAGGUUAAUCAGGUAUAAUUAAGUCUGUCCGGGGUUCGACAAACAGCAUCUUGUCCAAGGUGAGCAUAGCCCAAGGCUAUGUGCCUGCCCGGAGACUCAGCUUGGGGUUCCGAGGCAUGUGGGCAGUAGUAGCAGGCCACUAGCCAGGCUGUCAUCCUAGGCCUGGGAAGGACAGAAGGUGGUUUUCCCUACCCAGCAUAGACAGCUGCCUGGGAGCCUGUCUGUCCUCUUGGCCAGACAGAGGACUACCUGCUCAAAAAGCAGUUCCUAGCUGUGUCCAUGGAAAGUGUACUUCCACCCUGUUUGAGACUUGUGCCUCUCUGGAUUCUGGUUUGUAAAUCUCCUUGGGGGGCGGCAGAAAGAGGGUUGUAUGUGUUUCCAUGGAAGCACACACAAUUUGCAUGGCCACUGCAGAGGCCAUGGCUACAAAGUCCCAGGCUCUCCCUGGCGGGGUUAGCCCCUAUUCUUGGCACUGGUGAGGGUGCCAAUGGCGCACAGCCAGUCGAAAAUUUUGGUGGCCCUGGCUCCAGGCAUAGGCCGUGGUUACCAACAGCCAGCAGGCCUCCAUCUUCCCACUCAACACAUAGGUCCCUGUGUGCCUUCCUCGAAAAAGAUUGUACACACAUGUGACAUCCAGCUGCAGCCAGCGUUGCAGGGUGGGCUCCAGCUCUGCAGGGGGCAGUGGUCCUGUCUUCAGCACCUCUAGUCUGGAGUACAGGUUGCAGUCCCAGGGGCCAGAGGAAGUACUGUUGGUCCUGGAGAACCUGACCUUCACUGCUGAGUGGGAACAGAGGGGCCGGUGAGGAGAUGGGCCUCUAGGAGUCCUCCCUAAACCCCCAAGAGUGUUUAGUCCAUCAGUCCCCUCCACCUAGUAGACUAAACCCUUUUGUCUGAUGCUCUGCCCUUAGAAUCAGUCUGCCACCUUCCUUAGCAGAAUUUUUGGUUUCAUUUUGUUGUUUUAGCAAUGUCCUAUGCUUGUAAAGGAAUUUUUUCUUUUUGUUCCAACCAGGCAUAGCAUUUGGAUAUUCCCUCUUACACUGCCUCAGCCCCGAGCCAGGAGCUGCAAUGGAGGCACUUGGAAGGGGUGUGUAAAGCUACAGGCCCAGGACUCAUCAAAGUCACUGGUGCAGAGAGUGUCCAGAACCUCCUUGGAGGAGCCUGCAUCCUGCAACUCGCAGUCCCUGCAGCUGGCAUGCAGCGCUGGGAAGAGGGGCAAGGCGAGGCACUGGCCAGUGUGGUUGGGGGUGGAGUGAGGAGGGGGUGGAGGGGGCUGAUCCCUCCACUUUUCCCCCUUUUUUACCCUUUUUGAGACGGAUGCCUGCUGUAGGUGACAUUGAGUACAGUUUACCUGAUCCCUGUAUGAUUUGAAUGAUUUGAAAGGGGUGGGGCCGAGCAAGGUGGAGACCAGCCAUGUGCAGACUCACAUGGGCGGUCCAGGCGGGAGCCGUUGUUGGCCACAGCAGUGAUACAGAGAUCAUGGCCCAAGGGGAAGCGUCCACAAUGCAGGAUGGCUGGCCAGGGGUAGCUGUAGCAGGCCAUGAUGGGCUCGCAGCUGGCCUGCAUGGCCUCGCACAGGCUGUAGGAGGGGUAGAUGACCCUUUGGGGGAAAGGGUCGGGGGCUGCACCGCCACAGGCUGAGCACCCAGAUCAGCUGGAACCUCUCCAUGUUCCUACCCCUGUCUCGUGGCCUGGAACUCUCUGGUUGCUGGGCAACGACACUGGUCGCCUAGCAACAGCCCCGUAGCCUGGCUUUCCCACUUGCCCCACAUCUCAGCCCUCAGCUCUGCCUCUUCACUCCCGCCCUCCCACUCAGGUGCCUUGCCAGCUUUCCAGUGCACCUCUCCCUCCGGCUCUGUGGACAUCCAUUGUCUGCAAGAGGUGGCCUGCACCUUGGGCCUUUACUCUCCAUCUUAAAGGUCUCUUUGGACAGACAUAGCUUCCACGCCUCAUUGGAGAGGAGGUUCCAGCCCGCCUGCCCCCAACCCCCAGCCUGAAGCGACUUGUCCACCUGCCCUAUCUUGACAUUCAAGAGCCCUUGACCACCAUUGAUGGUCUCCUGCCUAAGGGCACCUGGUUCCCUCUGUCUGGAACACUCUAACAAAACGAUCCAUUUUCCUCUCUGUGCCUGUCAGCGCCCAGCCCUGAUAGGUGCUCAGGUGCUCAGCAAGGAUUACUGAAGACCUGAGCCACCAGAGCAGGGCCCUGAGGGAGCCCUCCAGGGCCCUGCACCUGGAAGCCCCUGUCCUACCUGUCAAGGCAUACAGGGGUAAAUAGCAGAGGAAGAGGCGGGCAUCGGGGUGGCACUCCCAGGCAAGCAGGAGCAGCCAGCUGACCAACUGCUGGAUGGCCUCAGCUGCUGUGAUGUGGUCCAGCAAGUUGGGCAGACGCAUCUGUGUAGCCAAUGUCGUGGCAUAGGGCCAUGGCUUGGGGAAUGGGCAUGCACCUCAUGCAGCCCCAGGGAGCCCCUGACCCUGCUGUCAUCCCACAGCAUCACCAGUGUCACCAGCAGCCACAGCCCCUGCUCCAUCACUGCCUUCUGUGCCUUGGCCUUAAUGAACUGAGGUUGAGGGUUUUAUAGGGCUGUUCCUGCACCCAGGGAGCCAACAGAGGAGAUCCUGCAGGGGUUUGCACAGCUCCGAGGUGCCCGGACCCACCUGGUGAGGCCCCAACAUGCUGACUGGGCUGUUUGUUUUUGAUUAGCACACAGCAGGGGACUGUAGAGGCUGGAGGCACCUCCACUGGGCUUGCAGAUUACUGGCACCUAAUAAACUGAAGAAACCUGG